GACGAACCGAGCGAACGUUAUUCGGAAUCACUGGGCUUAAAGGGCGCGUAGGCGGGCCAUCAAGUCAGGGGUGAGAGCCCCCAGCUCAACUGGGGAAGUGCCUCUGAUACUGGUGGCCUCGAGGGAGGUAGGGGCGUGCGGAACUUCCGGUGGAGCGGUGAAAUGCGUAGAUAUCGGAAGGAACACCGGUGGCGAAAGCGGCGCGCUGGACCUCUUCUGACGCUGAGGCGCGAAAGCCAGGGGAGCGAACGGG
RNAcentral lists this ribosomal RNA (253 nucleotides) under uncultured bacterium. RNAcentral's name for it is "partial 16S ribosomal RNA". It matches the Rfam family "Bacterial small subunit ribosomal RNA", at positions 524 to 776 of the family's 1533-position model. The record is from RNAcentral.